GCGAGAAAGUAUCUUCGGAUAUGAGUAGAGCGGCGGACGGGUGAGUAUCGCGUAGGAAUCUACCUAGUAGAAGGGGAUAGCCCGGGGAAACCCGGAUUAGUACCGUAUACCUCCUUCGGGAGAAAGAAGGCCUCUCUUUGAAGCUUUCGCUAUUAGAUGAGCCCGCGUAAGAUUAGCUUGUUGGUGAGGUAAAGGCUCACCAAGGCAACGAUCUUUAGCUGGUCUGAGAGGACGAUCAGCCACAUUGGGACUGAGACACGGCCCAGACUCCUACGGGAGGCAGCAGUGGGGAAUAUUGGACAAUGGGCGCAAGCCUGAUCCAGCCAUACCGCGUGUGUGAAGAAGGUCUUCGGGUUGUAAAGCACUUUAAGCAGGGAGAAAAAGUUAUAAGUUAAUACCUUAUGACCUUGAUGUUACCUGCUGAAUAAGCACCGGCUAAUUCC
RNAcentral lists this ribosomal RNA (443 nucleotides) under uncultured marine bacterium. RNAcentral's name for it is "bacterial SSU rRNA". It matches the Rfam family "Bacterial small subunit ribosomal RNA", at positions 66 to 504 of the family's 1533-position model. The record is from RNAcentral.